UUAUAUUCAAUUACGCAGGUUGGUCGUACAAAACUUUGGCUUACACCAGCAGCUCCACUGCUAUGGGGCUAUGCCAAAGUGGAAUCCACGAGCAUAACAGAGCUCAGCUAUUUUCAUGCCUGCUCCCUCACAGGAAAUUGAUUUCAUCUGUACCAGAAGAUUGACUGAAAUCAAGAGGGACAAGGGCUGGUGCUAUGUUUCCUGCUCGAACUGUGCGAAGAAACUUCAAAGCACUGUCUCAUCUUUCACAUGUCUGUCUUUCAACAAUACUAACGCUGUUGUUGCCUCCGAUACCGUGUGGAGAUGUCCGUUGCAAAUGAAACCGGUUAAGCUUUGUUUGUUUGUUUCGAUGGGAUAAUGACUAAAUUGCACAACAUGAGAGCCUAUGAAGCUGGUCAUCUUUUGGCCGGUGAUGGUGUCAACGCGGAGGAAACUCAUGCCCCUCCCUUUUUCAUAUCACAUGGGAGGCAAGACCUACACGUUUUAGAUGAGGGUGAGCUCAGACAAAUUUUCAGCAAAUCAUCAGAUCCUUACCAUCUCACGCAUCCUCAGUGAGCGUGAACGUUAGCCACAACCUGCCAUCCUUGAUAAUGGAGGCGACAAUGACAAUGGAGUUGACAACUCUGGUGCCAACUCCAUUCCUGCUAUUAAGGUGGAAGGUGCUGAGAUGGUGUCCUUACUUUGCCCCUGCUGAGACCUCUCAAUAUUGCCGUUGCAAAUAUGUAUGAGCAAGGUAAUUACCUGUUCAGAGUCCUUAAACUGGUAGUAGGUGACCAUGAUGAAGGUAUGGAGAUUCUUGACUUUUUUGAAUGGAAAAACAACACUGGUGCCAUUGGCAAGCUCUGGAGGCAAUUGAAGAUUCGUAAGUGUCCAUCGUUGAUCUCUUGGGCUUAGAUAGUUGAAUAAAUACUUACUGUGCGAAGGGCCCAGUAAUUCAAGACUCAAU
Raphanus sativus (radish) is the source of this 946-nucleotide long non-coding RNA. RefSeq lists it as uncharacterized. NCBI's taxonomy places the organism in Eukaryota, Viridiplantae, Streptophyta, Magnoliopsida, Brassicales, Brassicaceae. The transcript has 5 exons. The record is from RefSeq and is a predicted model, not a curated record.